This 563-nucleotide long non-coding RNA is filed under the name Equus asinus (donkey). Its description in RNAcentral is "lncRNA (ENSEASG00005030676.1)". The record is from RNAcentral. Lineage: Eukaryota; Metazoa; Chordata; Mammalia; Perissodactyla; Equidae.
GUAUGAGUGCUUCUAAUUUCCAUUUACAGGACAGUCCAUGCCCUUCCUCAGGAGAUUCCAUCCCUUACUUCAUUCAUUCCUUCCGUCAGCCCCGAGUGUCAGCUGUCUGCUGGGGAUUUGCUGAGGCCCAGGGGCAGACAGAUAGGCAAGCGACUGCCCUGCUCCCAAUUAAGAAACUCCCAGCCUACUGGGAGAGCUACCCCGCCCACCCGUAGAGCCACUCUAGGAGGGAAGAUGGCUAAGUGUCACCAGGGAGGAACAGAAGUGCUGUGGAGCCCGAGGAGGGGAGGGAGAGGUGGCUUUUUAAAUAGUUGUGGGUCAGGAAGCUUUAUGGAGGAAAUGGCAUUCAAGGGCCUGGAAGGAUGGGUAGGAUUUGGGCAUGAGGAAACAGAAGGAAGUGACAUAUCAACCAGUGAGGAAACAGAGCAGAGUCGUGAAGUUUGAAAUCUCAGAAAGGUUGUGCUAACUGUGCUCCCGCCAGCAAUGUACUAGUUUUCCAACAUCCUUGCCAACAUUGAGGGGUAAGCUUUAAAAAAUGUUUUCUAAUUUGGUAAAUGGGAACU